CAACAAACAAAAAAUGCUAGCUAGCAACUUGUAAACAAUUACCUAUUCCUAUAAGUACUAUUUUAAUAGUAAUGUUAAAUAAUACAUAUUGGCUGCUAAGCCAAUUAUAUUAUAUGAUUGUUGCCUCCCUUUGAAGUUGAUUGUGAUGGUAGGUGGAGGUUGUUAGCUACAAUGGUAUCUUCAACCUAGCCUAGCUUUUAGCUGGGCCUCCACCACUGCGCACACACCAGUCGUUACCAUGACAACUAGUGUAGUCAUGUCAGCAAAUUACUGCUGUCUGAACACACAAAUCAGAUUUGGUAGCCCUUAUGCACAUUCCAUGAUUGAAUGUUCUAAACACACUUCCUACUGGCGUGGCAAUUUCCGGUGGCGCAUACUAUAGAACGGAAGUCAGUCUAGUUGUUAUCGACGUUACUACCACUAUGUCACAGGUUUUUACUGUGUCUUCAGGACUUGCCUCAAAUUAAUAUUAAUGACGUACAUCGAAUUGUUAAAUCAGCCUCAGACUAGCAAGAAUGAAAAGGGGUUCAAGAUGUAUAUAGGAAGCUACAUAGACAACUAUGAAGGUGAGUACCAAGUCAGUGACAGAUAUAACGUUAGCUAGCUACAAUCAUAUUGGCUCGCUAAUUUAACUAUUAACUGUAGCUAGUUACUUCGUAAAAUGAUGUAACGUUGACAGAAUCUACCUGAGAAUGUGUGUAUUUUCGUUAGCUUGGUUAAGCUAUGCUUGCUAGCUAAAAAAAUACUUGUUAUUCAUGUCUUCUAUAUAGUAUCUAACAAAGGUACAUUGACAGGGGAGAUCACCGUGAGGGCUGCCUGUCACAGGUCCAUGAGGAAUAGUGAAAAGCCGCACAGCAUGAGAGUAGGGAAAGAUUAUAGAUAGCAACUAGGGACCUUGUUAAACAUCUGCUGUGGGACACUGUCAUCAUCGUCAAAAUGUGUUGGAGACAGUGUCAACGUUUAAUCUUAGCAGUAGAUAGAUAUUAAUGAUUGGUCCCAAUCCCAAUUUAGAAUUGCCCACUUAACAGCUUAUUUGGUAAAGAUCUGUUGAUGCAGUGGUAAUUGUGUUACCGAGACACAAUGUAUUCCUGUAUAGUUAAAUUAGCCCCUAGUUAAGAAGACUAGACACUACUAUGUUUAUUAUUUAUGGACCGCAUCAUUCUUGUUUCUCACUUAUCUUAUCUUCACAGAUGGUGUUAAAGCACGCCGUACCAGUGAUAGUGGUCCAUAGCCACUGCUCCUGUGUUGCAGGAAGUUUUAUGUGCAAUCAUCUGGUGGCCCUUCUUUACCAGACAGCGCACUACUCUCAACUAAACAUUCCUGCUGCACCACCAGUUUACAGCUGCACAGACACAGAACAGUGUUGGCACAAGCCAAUAUUCAUAAAAAAUGCACUUGAAAAGUAUUCAGCCUAUGUAACAGUAAAUCCUUGUUAAUUAGGGUGGGAAGCCAGGUCUUGUUGAUGGGAUAGAGUUCUGUAAACCUACUAACUCAUGUGCUGAAGGAAUAAGGUAAGUUGGAGGUUACUAGAAUGGAAACAUUUUAGAAAACAUUUUGUGAUUUUGUUCAGAUGGUGCUUGUGUUACUUUACUCUGCAGAUCAUUCUUUCAACAUGCACUCUCAGCCUGGCAAUGGAUUGGGUCUCCCUAACCUAAUGCGCUGGCAUCUGUGUGCAUCUUGACAGAAAGGCUGGCUGGUAGACCUUGCACUGAACAAUGUCAUCUACGAGGAAGCCCUCCACUAUAAUGGCCAUGUCAGGGGUACAGUGUCUUGUAGGAAGAAAACACCUCACUCUGCAGUAGGAGUGAAGAUGGUGUCUGCCAGCGGAGUUCAGUGCAGUCGAUCACUACCUGGGUGUCUGGAUAGUCCUUGAACUCAGGUGGCCUUUGAUGGUUUCCUUGGGGAUCCAUAUCCGUGUUGAUCCAAGCAGACAGGGCAAGAAUACUAAUGUUGAUUGAUGGAUGCUGAACCAAUGGGCCAAAUCCUUCUGCUUCAGACCCAAUGACAGAUGAGUCAUAAACAAGAAGAACUUGUCGAUUGAUGGCAGUGAUGACUGUUUUAGUACAAUACAGUCCUUAUAUUCGAUCCAUAACAAAAAGUAAAUAAUGUUUAACAAUUACAGUAAGAUCAAAUCAUAUCUUAAGUAUUUAAUGAAGUUGUCCCUUACCGGUUUUCUUAGAGGUACACUUGUUUCAGAUGGAUUGGUGCUUGUGACUCUUAUAAACUUGGUUUCUGCUGCCCGCUCAAUCAAGUGCCAGAAGGCCAUCAGGUGGGUGUAGCUUGCAAAUCUAAAGACAGACCCAGAGUAUUUGAAUACCACAAAAGCUCAUUACUAUUCUUGCCCAUCUUCUCUAAGCAUCAAGUAGCACUAGACAUGACCUAGCUGCUAUUGUAGCCUGUUUUUCUUGUUACUGCAAUUCGUACUGUAAUUCACAGCAGUGAAUUUGUUUUAAGUGUUCCGUUAUUUAACCUGGGAAGUGGACUAAGAACCAAAUCUUAUUUGCAGCAAUGACCUGGGAGCAUUUUGGGGGGUUAACUGAAACCAAAUGUAAAGACAAUAUACAUUCAAUGUGCCUACUUAUGCUAAGAUAUGCUAGCCUCGUUUUAAAUAACAAUGAACAUGUUCUUAAAGUUAAGAUGGACUUUGGGAUAAUAAUAAUUCAUAGUAAAUAAUAAUCAAUAGUAAUGUUGGAUAAUAACAAAUCAUGACUGUACCUUGUGUAAAAACGUAUAUCCUUGUCAGCUCACUGGUCACCAUAGCAGCACCCACCCAUAGCACGCGUUCCAGCAGGUAUAUCUCACUGGUCACCCCCAAAGCCAAUUCUUCCUUUGGCCGCCUCUCCUUCCAGUUUUCUGCUGCCAAUGACUGGAACUAACUGCAAAAAUCACUAAAGCUGGAAAAAAAUCACUAAACUCUUACCUCCCUCACUAGCUUUAAGUACCAGCUGUCAGAGCAGCUCACAGAUCACUGCACCUGUACAUAGCUCAUCUGUAAAUAGCCCAUCCAAUCUACCUCAUUCCCAUACUGUAUUUAUUUAUUUAUCUUGCUCCUUUGCACCCCAGUAUCUCUACUUGCACAUUCAUCUUCUGCACAUUCUACCAUUCCAGUGUUAAAUUGCUAUAUUGUAAUUACUUCACCACCAUGGCCUAUUUAUUGCCUUACCUCUCUUAUCCUACCUCAUUUGCACAUACUGUAUAUACAUUUUUCUACUGUAUUAUUGAUUGUAUGUUUGUUUAUUCCAUGUGGAACUCUGUUGUUGUAUGUGUCGAACUGCUUUGCUUUAUCUUGGCCAGGUCGCAGUUGCAAAUGAGAACGUGUUCUCAACUAGCCUACCUGGUUAAAUAAAGUUUAAAUAAAAACAUUUUAAAUUAAAG
Long non-coding RNA from Oncorhynchus tshawytscha (Chinook salmon), 3375 nucleotides. The record is from Ensembl. Lineage: Eukaryota; Metazoa; Chordata; Actinopteri; Salmoniformes; Salmonidae.